Molecule: ribosomal RNA, 806 nt
Filed under: Tenuiproboscis sp. NKS-2011
Lineage: Eukaryota; Metazoa; Acanthocephala; Palaeacanthocephala; Echinorhynchida; Pomphorhynchidae
Description: SSU rRNA
Rfam family: Eukaryotic small subunit ribosomal RNA
Source: RNAcentral
AGCCAUGCAUGUGUAAGUGCAUACCAGAUAUGGUGAAAACCGCGAAUGGCUCAUUACAUCAGUCGUAGUUUAUGGGACAAUAUGACAGGUGGAUAACUGUGGAAAAUCUAGAGCUAAUACAUGCACAAAAGUCCUGACGCAAGAAAGGACGCAUUUAUCAGAUCAAAGCCAACGUUUUCGCAAGAAAACACAACUGUGAUGACUCUGGGUAAAUUUUCGGAUUGCCCCGCCUAGAGCGGGCGACGUUGAUUGCAAGUGUCUGACCUAUCAACUUUUGAUGGCAGUCGAUAUUACUGCCAUGGUUGUAACGGGUAACGGGGAAUCAGGGUUCGAUUCCGGAGAGAGAGCAUGAGAAACGGCUGUCACAUCCAAGGAAGGCAGCAGGCGCGCAAAUUACCCAAUCCCCGAUCGGGGAGGUAGUGACGAGAAGUAGCGAUGCCGUAAUCUUUUGAUUCGGCAAUUGAAAUGAGAACAAUGAAAGAAUUUUAUCGAGAAUCUAUUGGAGGGCAAGUUCUGGUGCCAGCAGCCGCGGUAAUUCCAGCUCGAAAAGCGUAUGUUAAAGUUGCUGCGGUUAAAACGCUCGUCGUUGGACAUCAGGAAAUGGUUCGUGGACGGCCUAGAGUCGCUACCACGGAUUCACUCCUUUUUAUGCCAGUUCAUCGUUGAUGCACUUUAGUGUGUGUCGCGGUAGAAGGUCAAUGUCACUUUGAGAAAAUUAGUGUGCUCAACGCAGGCUUUAUGCUUGUAUAAUGCUGCAUGGGAUGACGGAAUAGGGCCUCGGUUCCGUUUCGUUGGUUUACGAAAGC